This 724-nucleotide ribosomal RNA is filed under the name uncultured bacterium. Its description in RNAcentral is "bacterial SSU rRNA". It matches the Rfam family "Bacterial small subunit ribosomal RNA", at positions 100 to 837 of the family's 1533-position model. The record is from RNAcentral.
GAACGGGUGAGUAACACGUGGGGUGAUCUGCCCUGCACUUUGGGAUAAGCCUGGGAAACUGGGUCUAAUACCGAAUAGGACCACGCGCUUCAUGGUGUGUGGUGGAAAGCUUUUGCGGUGUGGGAUGGGCCCGCGGCCUAUCAGCUUGUUGNNNNNNUAAUGGCCUACCAAGGCGACGACGGGUAGCCGGCCUGAGAGGGUGACCGGCCACACUGGGACUGAGAUACGGCCCAGACUCCUACGGGAGGCAGCAGUGGGGAAUAUUGCACAAUGGGCGCAAGCCUGAUGCAGCGACGCCGCGUGAGGGAUGACGGCCUUCGGGUUGUAAACCUCUUUCAAUAGGGACGAAGCGCAAGUGACGGUACCUAUAGAAGAAGCACCGGCCAACUACGUGCCAGCAGCCGCGGUAAUACGUAGGGUGCGAGCGUUGUCCGGAAUUACUGGGCGUAAAGAGCUCGUAGGUGGUUUGUCGCGUUGUUCGUGAAAACUCACAGCUUAACUGUGGGCGUGCGGGCGAUACGGGCAGACUAGAGUACUGCAGGGGAGACUGGAAUUCCUGGUGUAGCGGUGGAAUGCGCAGAUAUCAGGAGGAACACCGGUGGCGAAGGCGGGUCUCUGGGCAGUAACUGACGCUGAGGAGCGAAAGCGUGGGGAGCGAACAGGAUUAGAUACCCUGGUAGUCCACGCCGUANACGGUGGGUACUAGGUGUGGGUUCCUUCCUUG